AUGAACGCUGGCUACAGGCUUAACACCUGCAAGUCGAGGGGAAACGACGGGGAAGCUUGCUUCCCCGGGCGUCGACCGGCGCACGGGUGAGUAACGCGUAUCCAACCUGCCUCUGACUGAGGGAUAACCCGUCGAAAGUCGGCCUAAUACCUCAUGGUAUCGUCUGCGGGCAUCCAACGACGAUUAAAGAUUUCAUCGGUCAGGGAUGGGGAUGCGUCUGAUUAGCUUGUUGGCGGGGUAACGGCCCACCAAGGCUACGAUCAGUAGGGGUUCUGAGAGGAAGGUCCCCCACAUUGGAACUGAGACACGGUCCAAACGCCUACGGGAGGCAGCAGUGAGGAAUAUUGGUCAAUGGGCGAGAGCCUGAACCAGCCAAGUAGCGUGCAGGAAGACGGCCCUAUGGGUUGUAAACUGCUUUUAUGCGGGGAUAAAGUGAGGGACGUGUCCCUCAUUGCAGGUACCGCAUGAAUAAGGACCGGCUAAUUCCGUG
RNAcentral lists this ribosomal RNA (490 nucleotides) under uncultured bacterium. RNAcentral's name for it is "partial 16S ribosomal RNA". It matches the Rfam family "Bacterial small subunit ribosomal RNA", at positions 29 to 507 of the family's 1533-position model. The record is from RNAcentral.